UACGGAGGGGGCUAGCGUUGUUCGGAAUUACUGGGCGUAAAGCGCACGUAGGCGGCUUUGUAAGUUAGAGGUGAAAGCCCAGGGCUUAACCCUGGAAUUGCCUUUAAGACUGCAUCGCUAGAAUCGUGGAGAGGUAAGUGGAAUUCCGAGUGUAGAGGUGAAAUUCGUAGAUAUUCGGAAGAACACCAGUGGCGAAGGCGACUUACUGGACACGUAUUGACGCUGAGGUGGCGAAAGCGUGGGGAGCAAACAGG
This 254-nucleotide ribosomal RNA is filed under the name uncultured bacterium. RNAcentral's name for it is "partial 16S ribosomal RNA". It matches the Rfam family "Bacterial small subunit ribosomal RNA", at positions 524 to 776 of the family's 1533-position model. The record is from RNAcentral.